RNAcentral lists this long non-coding RNA (683 nucleotides) under Nicotiana benthamiana. RNAcentral's name for it is "long non-coding RNA (NBEN_LNC008079)". Lineage: Eukaryota; Viridiplantae; Streptophyta; Magnoliopsida; Solanales; Solanaceae. The record is from RNAcentral.
AAAAAAUGAAUUCCAACCAGAUACAAACCAAAUACAGCUCUUACGAGAGUAUUACAAGCAACCAGCAAAAUACAGUGGAUUAAACAAGCUCAGAACCAUGUAAUUCAGGAGAAAUGAAACUAAAUUAUAAAUCUGAACAAGUUGAGGCCAUGAUUAAAACUCCAUAUUUUAUUUCACACUUCAAGUCAAGCCUCACAUGCGGUAUAAUUCAGAAACAUGUACCUAGAAUUCAAAAGAGAACCAAUAGGAAUGAGGGAUCAGCAAAAACAGCAGCAUAAUCAGCCUAAAACAGCAGUAGAACAAUACCCCAAAUCAGAGUAGCUCAAACCAAACUUUUAAACCCCAAAAAUCAAAUCAUUUUUCAUCCAGGUGCAGGAAUUUGAAGUUUUCAGAAGUUCCAGCCAAUAGAGAGGAUCAGAAAAUCAAAGCUAAACAGAAUUUUUGAGUUGUCUUUUCCAAAUGAAACAUGAGAUUUCAAUGUUAAUUCAGAUUUUGCUCAAAACUUAACCGUUUUAGUAUUUUUUUCAGGAUUUUUCCUUCUCUAAAAUCUCUCUUAAAUCUGAAGUCUGAUUUGAGGGCCAGCUUUAGGUGCCUUUAUAGGCAAACCAUUAGGACAACAGAAAUAGGCUAAGUUUUUUACCUUCAAUCCUUUCUCAAUUUUCAUUUCUGCUACUUGGUCCCUG